This 539-nucleotide ribosomal RNA is filed under the name uncultured bacterium. RNAcentral's name for it is "bacterial SSU rRNA". It matches the Rfam family "Bacterial small subunit ribosomal RNA", at positions 777 to 1320 of the family's 1533-position model. The record is from RNAcentral.
AAUAGAUACCCAGGUAGUCCACGCCCUAAACGAUGAAUACUUGGUGUUGGCCUUUUUGGUCAGUGCCGAAGGUAACCUGAUAAGUAUUCCACCUGGGGAGUACGCUCGCAAGGGUGAAACUCAAAGGAAUUGACGGGGGCCCGCACAAGCGGUGGAGCAUGUGGUUUAAUUCGACGCAACGCGAAGAACCUUACCUGGGCUUGACAUGCACGGGAAAGCCUCUGGAAACAGGGGCCCCUCUUCGGAGUCCGUGCACAGGUGCUGCAUGGCUGUCGUCAGCUCGUGUCGUGAGAUGUUGGGUUAAGUCCCGCAACGAGCGCAACCCCCGCCCCUAGUUGCCAGCGAGUCAUGUCGGGGACUCUAGGGGGACUGCCGGUGCCAAACCGGAGGAAGGUGGGACGACGUCAAGUCAUCAUGGUCCUUACGCCCAGGGCCACACACGUGCUACAAUGGCACCGACAGCGGGUCGCGAGGGCGCAAGCCCGAGCCAAUCCCCAAACGGUGCCUCAGUUCGGAUUGUCCUCUGCAACUCGAGGGCA